This 1374-nucleotide long non-coding RNA is filed under the name Anser brachyrhynchus (Pink-footed goose). RNAcentral describes it as "lncRNA (ENSABRG00000022678.1)". The record is from RNAcentral. Lineage: Eukaryota; Metazoa; Chordata; Aves; Anseriformes; Anatidae.
GGAAGAAAUUCUUCACUCAGAGGCCAGUGAGGCCCUGGCACAGGCUGCCCAGAGAAGCUGUGGAUGCCCCAUCCCUGGAGGUGUUCAAGGCCAGGCUGGAUGGGGCUUUGGGCAACCUGGUCUGGUGGGAGGUGUCCCUGCCCAUGGCAGGGGGUUGAAAUUAGAUAAUCUGUAAGGUCUCUUCCAACCCAAAUCAUUCUGUGAUCCUAAGAACACACAAAAGUCACUGGUAUUCAUCAUAAGCUGAAUUGUUCCCUAAUAUAAUUUGCUCUUUAAAAUGCAUAUUUUUUUCCAUUUAAAUUUCUUUGGCUCUAUUUUUUAACUGUUAGAUUUUAUUAUGCUUCUUUCUGCAUAAAAUGGGUCACUAAAAUAGAAUCAGGACAUUUAUUCUUGAAUAGAUUAGGGUCAGGUCAUCUCUAAGACUGUAAUUUCAUUGUCAUUCUUUUCUACAGCGGCCCUAACCCUUCCAACCAGCUGUUUUUGUACCCACACCAAAUAAAUGGUUCUGAUGGGUGAAUAUAAGUUAAAAAUUAAACAGAGAACAGCACAAUAACGUGAAGGAACAGCCAGAAAUGAGAAUGGGCUUUUUAAGCUGACAGUUUAUUCUUUGUUAGCAAGGAGAUGCAAUGUUGUACCAGAUGGAGAUGCUGAAGAUCUCCCUGAGACCUCCAGAUGGAGAGUGGUCAAAAACCUAUGCGGAAGGACAUCAUUCUUUUUGGACACCACUUUAAUCACAAUUUCUAUGGGUGAAAAUAACAGCAUAUGGCACAAGAGAAUAAAGCACACAGCUGUUGAGGGAAAAAAUAUUCUGUCAAUACAAGCUAGGGUCCAUAAAUACUACCUAUUAAUUUAAUUUAAAGCGUACUCUUAAGGUCGCAGCCUUUAUGUAUCCCUAAAAAGCUUUCAGUGAUUUCUCCAGGCUAUAUGAAAAGAUUAUGAGUUACAGCUGCCAAUGUCUUCAAGCAAAGUGACUUAGAAAGAGAUGCUCCAUGGCAUCUUUACAGCAGGUGUCACACAGAAAGCAGCUUAAAAUGGGGAUGGUUUUAAACCUUGGAACUGUGAGCAAUGCCAAGUAGAGUGUGUUACUGAGAACUCGGAUGAACAGUCCACAAAAAAGUCCUAAGCAAAGAUCUGUUCGAUAAAGAUAUGGGUCAAACAAUGGGUCAUGUAACUGCUAGCAGUGAAAGAAUUCAUGUUUAAAUUAAAUCCCUCUGUGCAUGUGCAAUUAGGGAUUGGAAAAUGAAGCUUAAUUGUCUGAAUACAUUCAUUCCAAAUUUCUCACUUUGAUGCUUAUACCGGGGAGCUAAUAAGCUUGAAUUUUAACUUCAUGGACAAUUCUACAGAUCUCCUAUGCUAUUUUCUUCCAGACUGGGG